GACGAACGCUGGCGGCGUGCUUAACACAUGCAAGUCGAACGGAAAGACCCUGCUUUUGUGGGGUGCUCGAGUGGCGAACGGGUGAGUAACACGUGAGUAACCUGCCCUUGACUUUGGGAUAACUUCAGGAAACUGGGGCUAAUACCGGAUAGGAGCUCCUGCUGCAUGGUGGGGGUUGGAAAGUUUCGGCGGUUGGGGAUGGACUCGCGGCUUAUCAGCUUGUUGGUGGGGUAGUGGCUUACCAAGGCUUUGACGGGUAGCCGGCCUGAGAGGGUGACCGGCCACAUUGGGACUGAGAUACGGCCCAGACUCCUACGGGAGGCAGCAGUGGGGAAUAUUGCACAAUGGGCGGAAGCCUGAUGCAGAAACGCCGCGUGCGGGAUGACGGCCUUCGGGUUGUAAACCGCUUUCGCCUGUGACGAAGCGUGAGUGACGGUAAUGGGUAAAGAAGCACCGGCUAACUACGUG
RNAcentral lists this ribosomal RNA (468 nucleotides) under uncultured bacterium. RNAcentral describes it as "partial 16S ribosomal RNA". It matches the Rfam family "Bacterial small subunit ribosomal RNA", at positions 28 to 507 of the family's 1533-position model. The record is from RNAcentral.